UGUUAAUGCCCGUAUGCAGGAGAGCUACAAAAACCUGUAUAAACCUCCGGAAUAAUAAGCUCCUUAGUGAGGGGGAAAGACUACAGUACACUAAAGAAGCUGUAGAAAUACGGUCACGCCGAUUUAAAACUUCGCUUCAACGUGGGGCGAUAUAUCAAGCUUAGAAAUUAAGAGUGUGUCGGAAAAGCAGCACUUCAUAAAAUAAGCUGCAUGUUUAAAACAGACCUUUGGCUUUUCUUUUCCCGCUGCUUAUCUUACAAUUUGCUACAAGCCCCGCAAAUUUCUCAGAAAUAGCACUUUCAGCAGAGGAAACAAAUGACCGUCAAAGGAAAGAUGACCAGCAUGAACAUGAAUGAACAGCAGCUCCCCCACUGGUGACGACAGGGGAUUUACCCUUACUACAUGCCUCCAGAGACCACAGCUUGGAGCCAGUAAGGUCCAGCGUUUCUCCAACUGUGGCCUGCCUCUCAGAACGGUUGUUUUUCUCAUCCUCCCCAAAGGUAAUGGUUGACUACAAACAGCUUGGUGGAACUUGACACAAAUCAGG
Molecule: long non-coding RNA, 547 nt
Organism: Paramormyrops kingsleyae
Lineage: Eukaryota; Metazoa; Chordata; Actinopteri; Osteoglossiformes; Mormyridae
Source: RefSeq, a predicted model, not a curated record